Vicia faba (fava bean) is the source of this 228-nucleotide non-coding RNA. Lineage: Eukaryota; Viridiplantae; Streptophyta; Magnoliopsida; Fabales; Fabaceae. The record is from the annotation of a GenBank genome assembly.
AUGUUGGCUCAUUUGACCGGCCGGUUGAUUAAAUCAGCAAGUCCUCCUUCAACUCACCAUGUUCCAAGCCAUCAAAAAACAUGCACAAUUCAAAGCAAGUCAGCUCAUAUCAAACUGACUUCAAAACAUCUAUCAUACCAAAACAUAAACCAAGCAAUCCAUGGUUUCAAGUACACACCAUUCAAAUAUGCAAAAGAGUUCAUGAUAGCCCUGCCCGCGCUCGUUUAA